RNAcentral lists this RNase P RNA (291 nucleotides) under Paracoccaceae bacterium. Its description in RNAcentral is "Rhodobacteraceae bacterium RNase P RNA component class A". It matches the Rfam family "Bacterial RNase P class A". From Rfam's summary of the family: Ribonuclease P (RNase P) is a ubiquitous endoribonuclease, found in archaea, bacteria and eukarya as well as chloroplasts and mitochondria. Its best characterised activity is the generation of mature 5'-ends of tRNAs by cleaving the 5'-leader elements of precursor-tRNAs. The record is from RNAcentral. Lineage: Bacteria; Pseudomonadati; Pseudomonadota; Alphaproteobacteria; Rhodobacterales; Paracoccaceae. RNAcentral also lists the same sequence under 1 other name.
UAAGUUGACCAGACAGUCGCUAUAUAGUUUUCUAUGUAGAGGAAAGUCCGGGCUCCAAAGAGCAGAGUGAUGGCUAACAGCCAUACGCCGUAAGGUGAGGAACAGGGCCACAGAGACGAGCGUAUUAAGUUACGGUGAAACGCGGUAACCUCCACUCGGAGCAAGGCCAAAUAGGGUAGCAUUAACAUUGCUCGUGUUGCUACCGGGUAGGCUGCUUGAGCAUAUAAGUAAUUGUAUGCCUAGAUGAAUGACUGUCCCAGACAGAACCCGGCUUAUCGGUCAACUUAAAAA